This 345-nucleotide unclassified non-coding RNA is filed under the name soil metagenome. RNAcentral's name for it is "partial contains 5.8S ribosomal RNA, internal transcribed spacer 2, and large subunit ribosomal RNA". The stretch from base 1 to 121 matches the Rfam family "5.8S ribosomal RNA", at positions 35 to 154 of the family's 154-position model. The record is from RNAcentral.
GAUGAAUAACGUAGCGAAAUGCGAUAAGUAAUGCGAAUUGCAGAAUUUCCGUGAGUCAUCGAAUCUUUGAACGCACAUUGCGCCCACUGGUAUUCCGGUGGGCAUGCCUGUUCGAGCGUCAUUAUCCUCCCUCAAACCUCGGGUUUGGUGUUGGACCCAAGUUGUGUGAACAACUGGUCUUAAAGACAAUGACGGCGUCCGUGGGACCCUCGGUGCAACGAGCUUUUAGGAGCACGCGUCGAGUUUCAAGGACCUUCCGGGCCGGUCUCCUUUACCAUUUUACAAGGUUGACCUCGGAUCAGGUAGGAAUACCCGCUGAACUUAAGCAUAUCAAUAAGCGGAGGA